GUAACACGUAAAUAACCUGCCCCUAAAUUUGGGAUAACCUUUCUAACGAGAGGCUAAUACCGGAUGUGGAUAUUUGAUCUCCUGAUCGAAUAUUUAAAGAUGACCUCUUCUUGAAAGUUAUUGUUUAGGGAUGGAUUUGCGCACUAUUAGUUAGUUGGUAAGGUAAUGGCUUACCAAGACGAUGAUAGUUAGCCGACCUGAGAGGGUGAUCGGCCACAUUGGGACUGAGACACGGCCCAGACUCC
RNAcentral lists this ribosomal RNA (245 nucleotides) under uncultured bacterium. RNAcentral's name for it is "partial 16S ribosomal RNA". It matches the Rfam family "Bacterial small subunit ribosomal RNA", at positions 110 to 339 of the family's 1533-position model. The record is from RNAcentral.